AGAACGAACGCUGGCGGCAGGCCUAACACAUGCAAGUCGAACGCGUGUAGCAAUACACGAGUGGCGCACGGGUGAGUAACACGUGGGAACCUACCCAGAGGUGCGGAAUAACUGCGGGAAACUGCAGCUAAUACCGCUAUUACCCUAAGGGGGAAAGAUUUAUCGCCUUUGGACGGGCCCGCGUCUGAUUAGCUAGUUGGUGAGGUAAUGGCUCACCAAGGCAACGAUCAGUAGCUGGUCUGAGAGGACGACCAGCCACACUGGAACUGAGACACGGUCCAGACUCCUGCGGGAGGCAGCAGUGGGGAAUAUUGGGCAAUGGAGGAAACUCUGACCCAGCCAUGCCGCGUGGGUGAUUGAAGGUCUUCGGAUUGUAAAGCCCUUUCAGCGGGGACGAUGAUGACGGUACCCGCAGAAGAAGCCCCGGCUAACUUCGUGCCAGCAGCCGCGGUAAUACGAAGGGGGCUAGCGUUGUUCGGAUUUACUGGGCGUAAAGGGCGUGUAGGCGGCCCGUUUAGUCAGGCGUGAAAUGCCCAAGCUCAACUUGGGAGAUGCGCUUGAUACUGGCGGGCUUGAAUCCGGGAGAGGAUGGUGGAACUCCCAGUGUAGAGGUGAAAUUCGUAGAUAUUGGGAAGAACACCCGUGGCGAAGGCGGCCAUCUGGACCGGUAUUGACGCUAAGGCGCGACAGCGUGGGGAGCAAACAGGAUUAGAUACCCUGGUAGUCCACGCCGUAAACGAUGAGUGCUAGACGUUGGGGGGCCUAGCUUCCCAGUGUCGCAGCUAACGCAUUAAGCACU
This 799-nucleotide ribosomal RNA is filed under the name uncultured bacterium. RNAcentral describes it as "bacterial SSU rRNA". It matches the Rfam family "Bacterial small subunit ribosomal RNA", at positions 26 to 868 of the family's 1533-position model. The record is from RNAcentral.